Molecule: long non-coding RNA, 4392 nt
Filed under: Laticauda laticaudata (blue-ringed sea krait)
Lineage: Eukaryota; Metazoa; Chordata; Lepidosauria; Squamata; Elapidae
Description: lncRNA (ENSLLTG00000016133.1)
Source: RNAcentral
CCCUUCUGCUUUCCCUCGCCGUUCCCCGGGUCUGACGCGCUCAUUCUGCAAUGUCUGGAGCCUUCGGAGGUUCGCUUCACUUCGGCUUCGCCACAUCUCUCAGCCGGCCGGGAGCCAGCCGCCGCCACAACAAAAGAAUAUCAUGGGCGCAGAUCACCCGAUCUGAUGGCCCCACGAGUCAAGAACAGCUUUUUCGGAGGUUUGCAAAGACAAUAACGGCCAGACGAUUGAUUGUAAAUGCAAAUUUAAAGAGAAAAGAUGACGCGAUCGACCUGCCGGCGUCAAAUAUAUUUGUUUGUAUUUCAGUCGGGAAGGCUUGCUUGAUUUUUUUUUUCUUUUUUCCGCCCUGAUGUGCUGCUUGCAGUGUUUUUUCAGCAAUGGCUGUAACUGUUCCAGAGAACAAUACUGGGUGACUGAUUGGUGACAGGAUAGUUCAGGCAACAACGAAAGCCAGGUGAUGGAGGUAGAAAAGGCCACGGACAUUUUGGAAAGGUAGCAUUGCGUUUGAUUUCGUUCUGGUGGAGAAAAUAGCAGUGCGAUUAACAAAGCAGCGUCAUCAAAAAUAUGACAGCGAUGAUUAGAAUGAAGAUUAACAUGUUUGACCAAAAAGAGAAGAUUUGGCCCACUGAGAAUGGAUCUUUUUUCUCUCAGUCAGUUGAAAAGCAGCAGUGUAACUUCUGAAAAAUGUUCAUAUUCCUGCAAAGGAAAAACAAACAGCAGGUGCGGUGCCUAGGUGUUUUAACCAUAACAUUCAUAUACAUAGAAUUCCUCAGAUGUAUUCUUCAUAUUUUUUCAUUCAGAAAAAAGUCAAUUUGUCAAGACUCCUGAAAUGUAGACUUAAUCUUUUUUGUGUAUGUGUAAACACAUAUAAAGAAUAUCAAGAUGAAAAAGCAAAUUGAGAAAAACUUGGGAAUAUGCAUAUUUAUGCUUGUAUUCAUACAAAUGUGAUUUUAAGAAUAUAACCAUUUUAUAUAUUCCAUGUUUAUUUUAGAACAUUUUUAUAGGUAAUGAUUUAUGGCCCUUUAAAAAAAGAUUUUAAAGGUCCUUUGCUAUUACAUUAUUUUUUUGCCACAACAUUUGGGGCAGAAGAAUUUUCCAUUUUGAUUCAAAGAAAGAGGUGCUUGUAUUUUUGAGAAUUUUUCAGUUGUAGACCUAUUAACUAGCAAUAGGAAUUUCUUGUAUUGCAACAGUGAAAGUCUUAUGUUCAAGGAUAGGGUUUUUGUUUGCUUAUUUGAAUGCAGAUUUUUUAAACUAAGUUUGACAAAAUAUAAAUUCUAUGAAGAGGGACAGACAUUUUAUGUAAUUUUUGGUCAUAAGGUGCUAAAAGUUAUAUUAUUGAUAUGAAUAUCAGUCUAUUCAAUAGUAUUUAUAACGACAUAUCUACUAUUCUGUGCCAUUUUAUUAUGGAAGUUUAGUAGAAACAGAAGAGCUACAGUAGCUUCCUGGUUCUCCAAACGUUUUGUAUAUUCAUUUUCUCUAUACAUAACAGUAUGACCAUACUACUGUGAUCAGUGGUCUCAGCCUCAGUUAUAAUCAGUAAGGUUGCUUACAAUAUGCAGGUAUAGAUACCUAUUUUCUAUUUUAUAGGCAUCUUUUCUUGUAUAAAUUAAAACAAUUUUCGCUUACCAGCUUUAUUAGCACGCUUGUGGAUUUACCUGCUUCUGAGAAAAGUUCCAAUCUUUCUCAUAAUGUAUGUUCCAAAAAUUCCCAGAAGCAUUCUUAGAAAAUAAAAUAGAGUCAUUGCAGUAGUGAGUUAUUGGAAGUAUGCCCACCUAUCCAAGUUAAAAAACAAAUAAGGUGAGGUAACAAUAGUAGUUUAAGCCAUUAUAAAAUACAAUACAUCAAAUUAAUACAGUAGCUCACAAUAAUCUAAUAUCACAACUAAAGCCUGAGUUUCCACAGAACGGCCUAAUAUGUUAGAGGGAGUAACACUGAGUAAUCUCAUCCGAUUGACUCCUAAUAAGAGAAUGCUUUGUGAUUGGCCACAACAAUCAUAACAGCCAUUUUGUGAAAAUGCCAUAAACAUAGAACUGCAUUAUUCAUAGGAUGUAAUAGUAUGUGGGAAAAGAUGUUGCCAUGGAACAGGCAGAUAAGAGACAACAUAAUUUUUGGCUACACAAUGAACAAGGCAAGAGACUCAGAAGAAACCCUAGUUUCUCAGGGCUAUAAAGGAGUUGGAGAAUGGGUGGGGAGAACAUUAUAUUUUCAUAUUUGCAAGUUUCUGUCAAUGUAGUUUUACAAUAACAAAAUUAGUUUAUCUGAUUCCUGUCUGAUAUACCCAUAAGGUCAAUAUAAAUCUUCUGUAUAAUACAGUAUUAUUAGUUCAUAUAGUUGUGAAUCCUAUUUAGUUUACCUCGUGAGGUAAUUAAUUAACAUUAAUCUUCUAUAUGAAAGAAGGUUCCCUCUCCCUUAUCUCCUUACAGCCCAAGAAACUAGGAUGGUACUGAGCCUCUUGCUUUGCUCACUAUCUGGCUGCAAGUUACCCUGUCUUAUCGGACUGUUUUCUUGGCAGUGUCUCUUCAUCCAGUCUCAAGGUCUUUCCCACAGACCAUUACAAAGGGAAAAAAUGAAGCUCUCAGUCUCGUUCAAAUCCAACUACUGAUCAACUCCUUCAAAAAACCUGGUGCAAUAAACCAUGUAAAUCAUUGUAGCAGGACAGCUAAGCCAAUAAAAUAGAAACCUGGAGUUUUCAAAAUUUUCCCCAAACUGUAUGAAUCUUCACACGUGGUCAUAUGAGCCUUCGCAAGUGGUCUUGGCCCACCACCUGCUUUGGAAUAGCAACUUGAUAGUUCCUGCUGCCACUACCAGUUUCCUAGGAGGUGCCGACACCUGAUAUCCUUCCCCUAAUACUACUAUGCAGAACAAAGAUAUCACAACUGAUGCUGCUUUAAUCAGAGAAUCAUAUCAUUUACUACUCAAGACAUGAAAAACAAGGAAUGGAAUGCUUUCAUAAAGCAGAAUAUAGCAAAGACAGGUCCCUUAUGAGAGAAAUUCUUAAACAUGAUACAUAAAUAAAUAAUACAAAUUUGGAUACAAUCUAGUCCAGGGGUGCUGAUCUCAAUGCAUCAGGAUUGUGUUUGACCUCUGGGGGAUGGGAUGGGCAUGGCCAGCAUGAUGUCACUCAUGUUGGGGGUGCCUGUGAUAGCCCAAGUGCUCUGCCAGUGAAAACAGGCUCCCGAGCUCCAUUUUCAGCUGGGACGACCUCCUGCAACCCUCUGCCAGCAAAAAAGAAGCUCAGGUUGGGGGGGCUGCGUGUGGCUCUUGUGAGCUCCAUUUUUGGCUGGGAUAGCCUCCUGCAACCCUCUUGCCAGUGAAAACGGAGACACAAAAUCUGAAACAGUGCUUUCUUUAUUGCUAAUAUAUUGCUAACUAAAAGGACAAGUAUACACAAGGUGAUCACCAGAUAAAUCAAAUCGACCAUAUUAUUGAUACAAGGAAGUGGAAGAACUCAGUUAUAACAACGAAGAUCUUGCCAGGGGGCAAUUGUGAAGCAAAUUACAAACUCUUUAUGUACAAGUUCCAAGUCAAGCUAAAAUGGGAGAAAAAAACUAAGCAGUUACCAUAAUAUGAUCUGAAGCACAUAUCCACCAUUUUCAAGGAGAACAUCAGGGCUUAUUUUGAACCUUGCUAAUAGGGAACAGUGAAAUUGCUGCAUGAAAUCAAACACAUUUUAAGGAUGAAUGUGAAAAGAGACUGUUAAAAGGUCAAAAAACAGAAGAAAGCAAACUGGAAAUCAGAACAAAUGGUAGAAAUUGCAGGAGUAACCAAACCCAAGAAAGAUGCAAAAAUCUCAGGAAGAACCUGAGAAUAGUUAGAAAAAAACAAACAAUAUUACAAUAUCUGUGAAGAUGGAAAAAUACAGUUUUUGAAAACUCAGAAGAAGGGUCUAACCUUGAAUUCUUAUCCUAAAAUUGCCAAUGAACAGAUGGUAACAAAUUCAAAAACACUCAACCAGAAUGGAAGAAGUGUACUAAAAUUCUGUGUAGUAGAGAUUUCAUUGUUCAAGAUAUCCAGAAGAUGUUCUCUUUUUAUGAGAACAUUUAAUAAAAGAAGGUGAACUUAAAUAAGUACUCUGUUAUUAGUAUGUCUGAAGGCUAAAGGAACUCAUGGAAGAAUCAGUAAAUAUUCUAAUCAAACUCUGCCAACAAAGCUGGAGAACAACACAAUGGCCAACACAUUGGAAGAGGUCUGUCUACAUAUCAAAAGAAAGGAGAGCAUUUAUAUACCCUUUAUUUUCACAUUGUAGCAAAACAAUGUAUAGAUCAUUUAACAUGGAUUACAGCCAUACAUGGAAAGGAAAUGCUUGAUGUCCAACUUUAUUUUAGAAAAGGCAAAAGAAAAAGAAAAAACAAUUACUGAUGCAUACUGGAUAACUGAGAAUGCCAAAAAAAG